This 497-nucleotide ribosomal RNA is filed under the name uncultured bacterium. RNAcentral describes it as "partial 16S ribosomal RNA". It matches the Rfam family "Bacterial small subunit ribosomal RNA", at positions 28 to 507 of the family's 1533-position model. The record is from RNAcentral.
GACGAACGCUGGCGGCGUGCCUAAUACAUGCAAGUUGAGCGCUGAAGGUUGGUACUUGUACCAACUGGAUGAGCAGCGAACGGGUGAGUAACGCGUGGGGAAUCUGCCUUUGAGCGGGGGACAACAUUUGGAAACGAAUGCUAAUACCGCAUAAAAACUUUAAACACAAGUUUUAAGUUUGAAAGAUGCAAUUGCAUCACUCAAAGAUGAUCCCGCGUUGUAUUAGCUAGUUGGUGAGGUAAAGGCUCACCAAGGCGAUGAUACAUAGCCGACCUGAGAGGGUGGUCGGCCACAUUGGGACUGAGACACGGCCCAAACUCCUACGGGGGGCAGCAGUAGGGAAUCUUCGGCAAUGGACGAAAGUCUGACCGAGCAACGCCGCGUGAGUGAAGAAGGUUUUCGGAUCGUAAAACUCUGUUGGUAGGGAAGAACGUUGGUGGGAGUGGAAAGCGCAUCAAGUGACGGUAACUACCCAGAAAGGGACGGCUAACUACGUG